AGAGUUUGAUCAUGGCUCAGAACGAACGCUGGCGGCAGGCCUAACACAUGCAAGUCGAACGCUGCAGCAAUGCAGAGUGGCAGACGGGUGAGUAACACGUGGGAAUCUUCCUAUCGGUACGGAAUAGCUCAGGGAAACUUGGGGUAAUACCGCAUACGCCCUUCGGGGGAAAGAUUUAUCGCCGAUAGAUGAGCCCGCGUCUGAUUAGCUAGUUGGUGAGGUAAUGGCUCACCAAGGCGACGAUCAGUAGCUGGUCUGAGAGGAUGACCAGCCACACUGGGACUGAGACACGGCCCAGACUCCUACGGGAGGCAGCAGUGGGGAAUAUUGGACAAUGGGCGCAAGCCUGAUCCAGCCAUGCCGCGUGAGUGACGAAGGUCUUCGGAUUGUAAAGCUCUUUUGGCGGGGACGAUAAUGACGGUACCCGCAGAAUAGCC
RNAcentral lists this ribosomal RNA (437 nucleotides) under uncultured Hyphomicrobium sp. Its description in RNAcentral is "bacterial SSU rRNA". It matches the Rfam family "Bacterial small subunit ribosomal RNA", at positions 8 to 492 of the family's 1533-position model. The record is from RNAcentral. Lineage: Bacteria; Pseudomonadati; Pseudomonadota; Alphaproteobacteria; Hyphomicrobiales; Hyphomicrobiaceae.